GACGAACGCUGGCGGCGUGCUUAACACAUGCAAGUCGAACGGAAAGGCCCUGCUUUUGUGGGGUGCUCGAGUGGCGAACGGGUGAGUAACACGUGAGUAACCUGCCCUUGACUUUGGGGUAACUUCAGGAAACUGGGGCUAAUACCGGAUAGGAGCUCCUGCUGCAUGGUGGGGGUUGGAAAGUUUCGGCGGUUGGGGAUGGACUCGCGGCUUAUCAGCUUGUUGGUGGGGUAGUGGCUUACCAAGGCUUUGACGGGUAGCCGGCCUGGGAGGGUGACCGGCCACAUUGGGACUGAGAGACGGCCCAGACUCCUACGGGAGGCAGCAGUGGGGAAUAUUGCACAAUGGGCGGAAGCCUGAUGCAGCAACGCCGCGUGCGGGAUGACGGCCUUCGGGUUGUAAACCGCUUUCGCCUGUGACGAAGCGUGAGUGACGGUAAUGGGUAAAGAAGCACCGGCUAACUACGUG
Molecule: ribosomal RNA, 468 nt
Filed under: uncultured bacterium
Lineage: Bacteria
Description: partial 16S ribosomal RNA
Rfam family: Bacterial small subunit ribosomal RNA
Source: RNAcentral